GGGGUUGAUUGGGGUACUGGUGUCCCUCACGGUCUUCAAAACCGAUUGUGCGGCGCGUGACGUCGCAGCUGGGUUCGAUUCCCAGGCAGUCCCGCCA
This 97-nucleotide transfer RNA is filed under the name Litchfieldia salsa. RNAcentral describes it as "tRNA-Sec". It matches the Rfam family "Selenocysteine transfer RNA". Lineage: Bacteria; Bacillati; Bacillota; Bacilli; Caryophanales; Bacillaceae. RNAcentral also lists the same sequence under 1 other name. The record is from RNAcentral.